ACCACCACGUUUCCGCUUAACUUCACCACUACUCUGGUGUCUUGAUAAAAUGAACUGGAAUUAAAGACAAUUAAAUUUUCUGAACCCGGCAGGGACGCAGUAAACCGCUGCCAGGCGUACUUGACUUGUGUAUUGCUUUUAAGUUCCUGUUGCAAUACGCGUGGGAGGAGUUUGCUUUGACGGAUGCAGCCUUUGCUAAAACACCACCGGGGGAAGGGAUCGCGUGACCUCAGACAGAGGAAAGAUCCCUCGCCUCACAUAAAGAUUAGACACAGUACUGGUUGCAAUGACAGUGAUUUGACGGAUGAGGAACAAAGGUGUCUGGCAACGGAGGAAGAGGAGGAGGAGGAGCCAGAACAGGAGCAGGAGCAGGAGCAGAAGUAGAAGCAGAAGCAGGAGCAGAAGCAGAAGCAGAAGCAAGAGGGGAUGAUGAGAGGAGACUAGACUCGAUAAUGGUUCCGCAGAUUGUGUGCUGGUGACGUACGAGUACCAAUGUUGAGCUGAUGGUGCAGGCAUUGGUGGUGGUGACGGAGUGGUGUUGCUGGCACAGCGGAGCCUCCAGCUGCUGGUCGUUACCCUUGACACAAAGGCACAGGGAAGGGCGGCGGGGAGCGAGGAUACGCAGAUCACUUUAAAGGCAGCGAUGUGCGGGCAGCGGCUGGUGGACUCUGGGCCUGUGAGCUGACACGCGGCGACAGCUCGGUGCUUCUUUCAUCAGUUAUUA
Molecule: long non-coding RNA, 724 nt
Filed under: Portunus trituberculatus (swimming crab)
Lineage: Eukaryota; Metazoa; Arthropoda; Malacostraca; Decapoda; Portunidae
Description: uncharacterized LOC123504565, transcript variant X1
Source: RNAcentral